RNAcentral lists this ribosomal RNA (438 nucleotides) under uncultured Latescibacterota bacterium. RNAcentral's name for it is "bacterial SSU rRNA". It matches the Rfam family "Bacterial small subunit ribosomal RNA", at positions 948 to 1382 of the family's 1533-position model. The record is from RNAcentral. Lineage: Bacteria; Pseudomonadati; Candidatus Latescibacterota.
AAUUCGAUGCAACGCGAAAACCUUACCACCUUUGACAUGGCAGGAAUCCUAAAGAGAUUUUGGAGUGCUCGAAAGAGAACCUGCACACAGGUGCUGCAUGGCUGUCGUCAGCUCGUGUCGUGAGAUGUUGGGUUAAGUCCCGCAACGAGCGCAACCCUUAUCCCUAGUUGCCAUCAGGUAAAGCUGGGAACUCUGGGGAGACUGCCGGUGAUAAACCGGAGGAAGGCGGGGAUGACGUCAAGUCCUCAUGGCCCUUACAUCCCGGGCUACACACGUGCUACAAUGGCAGGGUACAGAGGGCUGCGAAGCCGCGAGGUGGAGCGAAUCCCAGAAAACCUGUCUCAGUCCGGAUUGAAGUCUGCAACUCGACUUCAUGAAGGCGGAAUCGCUAGUAACCGCGAAUCAGCAGGUCGCGGUGAAUACCGGUUCCCGGGCCUU